GACGAACGCUGGCGGCGUGCCUAAUACAUGCAAGUAGAACGCUGAAGGAGGAGCUUGCUUCUCUGGAUGAGUUGCGAACGGGUGAGUAACGCGUAGGUAACCUGCCUGGUAGCGGGGGAUAACUAUUGGAAACGAUAGCUAAUACCGCAUAAGAGUAGAUGUUGCAUGACAUUUGCUUAAAAGGUGCACUUGCAUCACUACCAGAUGGACCUGCGUUGUAUUAGCUAGUUGGUGAGGUAACGGCUCACCAAGGCGACGAUACAUAGCCGACCUGAGAGGGUGAUCGGCCACACUGGGACUGAGACACGGCCCAGACUCCUACGGGAGGCAGCAGUAGGAAAUCUUCGGCAAUGGACGGAAGUCUGACCGAGCAACGCCGCGUGAGUGAAGAAGGUUUUCGGAUCGUAAAGCUCUGUUGUAAGAGAAGAACGAGUGUGAGAGUGGAAAGUUC
RNAcentral lists this ribosomal RNA (451 nucleotides) under Streptococcus mitis. Its description in RNAcentral is "bacterial SSU rRNA". It matches the Rfam family "Bacterial small subunit ribosomal RNA", at positions 28 to 465 of the family's 1533-position model. The record is from RNAcentral. Lineage: Bacteria; Bacillati; Bacillota; Bacilli; Lactobacillales; Streptococcaceae.